This 316-nucleotide unclassified non-coding RNA is filed under the name uncultured fungus. RNAcentral's name for it is "partial contains small subunit ribosomal RNA, internal transcribed spacer 1, and 5.8S ribosomal RNA". The stretch from base 1 to 73 matches the Rfam family "Eukaryotic small subunit ribosomal RNA", at positions 1759 to 1831 of the family's 1831-position model. Lineage: Eukaryota; Fungi. The record is from RNAcentral.
UCAAACUUGGUCAUUUAGAGGAAGUAAAAGUCGUAACAAGGUUUCCGUAGGUGAACCUGCGGAAGGAUCAUUAAAGGGUUUUUUUAAAAAAAAAAAAUUUCUUUUUUCACCUUGUGUGCAACUAUUGAAAAAAAGGUAGCCUUUGGGAGAGUAGGGGUUUCAGAUUUCACGGGAUCUCAUCUCCCAGAGGCAUAUUCAAUUUUACAAAUUUUUUUUUUUUUAUGACUAAAAUUUUUUUAAAUACAUAAAAAAAAAAAUUAAUAAAACAACUUUCAACAAUGGAUCUCUUGGCUCUCGCAUCGAUGAAGAACGCAGC